This 234-nucleotide ribosomal RNA is filed under the name Triticum aestivum (bread wheat). RNAcentral describes it as "partial small subunit ribosomal RNA". The record is from RNAcentral. Lineage: Eukaryota; Viridiplantae; Streptophyta; Magnoliopsida; Poales; Poaceae.
AUGUAUUCAAUAGCCUGGGCUGCUAUAGAGGUUGAGAACAAAGACUCUUGGUUCUGGUUUAUGGCUCUCCUAAACAACGACUUGGAGACUGAAAAUCAAGGAGAAGGGUGGGUCUUCAUAUGUGAUCAACAAAAAUGCCUCAUCGAUGAUGUGUCCAAGGUUGUUCCAAAUGCUGAGCAUAGGAAUUAUGCUAGGCAUAUCUAUGCUAAUUGGAAGAAAAAGCAUAGAGAUUAA